GCCGAGGUGGUGGAACUGGUAGACACGCUACUUUGAGGGGGUAGUGAGGGUUACCUCGUGCGGGUUCAAGUCCCGCCCCCGGCA
Molecule: transfer RNA, 84 nt
Filed under: Desulfurella amilsii
Lineage: Bacteria; Pseudomonadati; Campylobacterota; Desulfurellia; Desulfurellales; Desulfurellaceae
Rfam family: tRNA
About the family: Transfer RNA (tRNA) molecules are approximately 80 nucleotides in length.
Source: Rfam by way of RNAcentral